This 1689-nucleotide ribosomal RNA is filed under the name Escherichia coli. RNAcentral's name for it is "bacterial LSU rRNA". It matches the Rfam family "Bacterial large subunit ribosomal RNA", at positions 1270 to 2925 of the family's 2925-position model. The record is from RNAcentral. Lineage: Bacteria; Pseudomonadati; Pseudomonadota; Gammaproteobacteria; Enterobacterales; Enterobacteriaceae.
AUGCUGGAGGUAUCAGAAGUGCGAAUGCUGACAUAAGUAACGAUAAAGCGGGUGAAAAGCCCGCUCGCCGGAAGACCAAGGGUUCCUGUCCAACGUUAAUCGGGGCAGGGUGAGUCGACCCCUAAGGCGAGGCCGAAAGGCGUAGUCGAUGGGAAACAGGUUAAUAUUCCUGUACUUGGUGUUACUGCGAAGGGGGGACGGAGAAGGCUAUGUUGGCCGGGCGACGGUUGUCCCGGUUUAAGCGUGUAGGCUGGUUUUCCAGGCAAAUCCGGAAAAUCAAGGCUGAGGCGUGAUGACGAGGCACUACGGUGCUGAAGCAACAAAUGCCCUGCUUCCAGGAAAAGCCUCUAAGCAUCAGGUAACAUCAAAUCGUACCCCAAACCGACACAGGUGGUCAGGUAGAGAAUACCAAGGCGCUUGAGAGAACUCGGGUGAAGGAACUAGGCAAAAUGGUGCCGUAACUUCGGGAGAAGGCACGCUGAUAUGUAGGUGAGGUCCCUCGCGGAUGGAGCUGAAAUCAGUCGAAGAUACCAGCUGGCUGCAACUGUUUAUUAAAAACACAGCACUGUGCAAACACGAAAGUGGACGUAUACGGUGUGACGCCUGCCCGGUGCCGGAAGGUUAAUUGAUGGGGUUAGCGGUAACGCGAAGCUCUUGAUCGAAGCCCCGGUAAACGGCGGCCGUAACUAUAACGGUCCUAAGGUAGCGAAAUUCCUUGUCGGGUAAGUUCCGACCUGCACGAAUGGCGUAAUGAUGGCCAGGCUGUCUCCACCCGAGACUCAGUGAAAUUGAACUCGCUGUGAAGAUGCAGUGUACCCGCGGCAAGACGGAAAGACCCCGUGAACCUUUACUAUAGCUUGACACUGAACAUUGAGCCUUGAUGUGUAGGAUAGGUGGGAGGCUUUGAAGUGUGGACGCCAGUCUGCAUGGAGCCGACCUUGAAAUACCACCCUUUAAUGUUUGAUGUUCUAACGUUGACCCGUAAUCCGGGUUGCGGACAGUGUCUGGUGGGUAGUUUGACUGGGGCGGUCUCCUCCUAAAGAGUAACGGAGGAGCACGAAGGUUGGCUAAUCCUGGUCGGACAUCAGGAGGUUAGUGCAAUGGCAUAAGCCAGCUUGACUGCGAGCGUGACGGCGCGAGCAGGUGCGAAAGCAGGUCAUAGUGAUCCGGUGGUUCUGAAUGGAAGGGCCAUCGCUCAACGGAUAAAAGGUACUCCGGGGAUAACAGGCUGAUACCGCCCAAGAGUUCAUAUCGACGGCGGUGUUUGGCACCUCGAUGUCGGCUCAUCACAUCCUGGGGCUGAAGUAGGUCCCAAGGGUAUGGCUGUUCGCCAUUUAAAGUGGUACGCGAGCUGGGUUUAGAACGUCGUGAGACAGUUCGGUCCCUAUCUGCCGUGGGCGCUGGAGAACUGAGGGGGGCUGCUCCUAGUACGAGAGGACCGGAGUGGACGCAUCACUGGUGUUCGGGUUGUCAUGCCAAUGGCACUGCCCGGUAGCUAAAUGCGGAAGAGAUAAGUGCUGAAAGCAUCUAAGCACGAAACUUGCCCCGAGAUGAGUUCUCCCUGACUCCUUGAGAGUCCUGAAGGAACGUUGAAGACGACGACGUUGAUAGGCCGGGUGUGUAAGCGCAGCGAUGCGUUGAGCUAACCGGUACUAAUGAACCGUGAGGCUUAACCUUACAACGCCGAAG